Molecule: ribosomal RNA, 482 nt
Filed under: Theramenes sp. SB0286
Lineage: Eukaryota; Metazoa; Arthropoda; Insecta; Phasmatodea; Heteropterygidae
Description: partial 16S ribosomal RNA
Rfam family: Bacterial large subunit ribosomal RNA
Source: RNAcentral
AAUGAUUUAUUUAAUGGCCGCGGUAUUCUGACCGUGCAAAGGUAGCAUAAUCAUUAGCCUAUUAAUUGUGGGCUAGAAUGAAUGGUUGGACGAAAUAUUAACUGUCUCAUUUUUUUUUCUAAAACUUAAAUUUUGAGUUAAAAUGCUUAAAUUUUUUUAAAGGACGAGAAGACCCUAUAGAUCUUUAUUUUUGAUUUAAUUAAUCUAUUUAGAUUUUUUAUUUUUAAUUUAUUUCAAUUAUUUUGUUGGGGUGACAUGGGGAUAUUUUAAACUCUUUAUUUUCUUUUUCAUUUAUUUAUGCAUAUGUGACCUUUUAUUAUUGUUAUAAGAUUUAGAUACCUUAGGGAUAACAGCGUAAUUCCUCUUGAGAGUUCAUAUUGACAGUGGAGAUUGCGACCUCGAUGUUGGAUUAAGAUUAUUAUCAGGUGUAGGGGCUUGAUUAUUAGGUCUGUUCGACCUUUAAAUUCUUACAUGAUCUGAGU